Triticum urartu is the source of this 113-nucleotide non-coding RNA. Lineage: Eukaryota; Viridiplantae; Streptophyta; Magnoliopsida; Poales; Poaceae. The record is from Rfam.
AAAAUACUGCCUCCAUUCGGAAUUACUUGUCGCGGAAAUGGAUGAAUCUAGAACUAAAAUGUCUAGAUACAUCCAUAUUCGAGACAAGUAAUUCCGAACGGAGGGAGUAUAAC